AAGCUCAGCAGUACAAACCGAUGUGACAUCCAUGUCGCAUAUCUACUCUGCCAUCAGCUGAACUCAGACCCCAUACCCACUGGAAAUGGGUUAGCAAGCUCGGUCUCUCUUUCUACAGUAACUUUAUCCUGCACACAUGCUGCGUGACCGCUGACCCGCAAUAUCCGCAGUAUUCUCAGGACGACCUUCUGCUCCAGUGCUGCGUUCAAUCAGAUAGAACUCAAGACAUGAUGAACACCACAUCCCUCCUCAGAUUGUGGUCGCCUCUGUUUUGCUUUUCAAAUGAACGCAGCACUGAGAUGUGGUUAAUGCAUUAUGUCGCCUCUCAGAGAGUAGCAGAGGGAGGUAAUGUGACAGCGGGGCACAGCGGGGCAUUACUUCACGAAGAAAGCAUGAGAUGGAGGAGAGAUUGAUGCCUAAAGCAUAUGAACUUGGAAAAGUGCAUCCUGGAGCCUUCUCUUCCCCAGGUCAUCUGGUCUACAUAUUUGAGUUGAUACAGGUUUUAUGAUGGAUGCCCUUCCUGACGCAACCCUCACAUUUUAUCUGGGCUUGGGACCAGCAUUAAGUUAGCUUCCUGCCCGGGAAUCGAACCCUUGCCCCAGCAAUGAGAGCGUGGGAUCCUGCCUCUGGAACACCAGGAGGCUAUUAAUGACAUUCCAAGGAUUUACUUAAAUGUAUCAUUUAUUUUUUUAUCUAGAAUUUGUAUAAGGUUAUAAAUGUAACAACAACAUUGAAAAUAAAGAAAAAUAAAAG
Molecule: long non-coding RNA, 753 nt
Organism: Tachysurus fulvidraco (yellow catfish)
Lineage: Eukaryota; Metazoa; Chordata; Actinopteri; Siluriformes; Bagridae
Exons: 3
Source: RefSeq, a predicted model, not a curated record